RNAcentral lists this transfer RNA (73 nucleotides) under Cellulomonadaceae bacterium. Its description in RNAcentral is "tRNA-His". It matches the Rfam family "tRNA". From Rfam's summary of the family: Transfer RNA (tRNA) molecules are approximately 80 nucleotides in length. Lineage: Bacteria; Bacillati; Actinomycetota; Actinomycetes; Micrococcales; Cellulomonadaceae. The record is from RNAcentral.
GUGCCCUUAGCUCAGUCGGCAGAGCGCCUGGUUGUGGUCCAGGAGGUCGCCGGUUCAACCCCGGUAGGGCACC